This 29-nucleotide non-coding RNA is filed under the name Homo sapiens (human). Lineage: Eukaryota; Metazoa; Chordata; Mammalia; Primates; Hominidae. The record is from RNAcentral.
UAAGUCUGAUCAAGCAGCCGUGCAGAGAU